GAUGAACGCUGGCGGCGUGCCUAAUACAUGCAAGUCGAGCGAACAGACGAGGAGCUUGCUCCUCUGACGUUAGCGGCGGACGGGUGAGUAACACGUGGAUAACCUACCUAUAAGACUGGGAUAACUUCGGGAAACCGGAGCUAAUACCGUAUAAUAUAUUGAACCGCAUGGUUCAAUAGUGAAAGACGGUUUUGCUGUCACUUAUAGAUGGAUCCGCGCCGCAUUAGCUAGUUGGUAAGGUAACGGCUUACCAAGGCAACGAUGCGUAGCCGACCUGAGAGGGUGAUCGGCCACACUGGAACUGAGACACGGUCCAGACUCCUACGGGAGGCAGCAGUAGGGAAUCUUCCGCAAUGGGCGAAAACUUGACGGAGCAACGCCGCGUGAGUGAUGAAGGUCCUCGGAUCGUAAAACUCUGUUAUUAGGGAAGAACAAAUGUGUAAGUAACUAUGCACGUCUUGACGGUACCUAAUCAGAAAGCCACGGCUAACUACGUG
This 497-nucleotide ribosomal RNA is filed under the name uncultured bacterium. Its description in RNAcentral is "partial 16S ribosomal RNA". It matches the Rfam family "Bacterial small subunit ribosomal RNA", at positions 28 to 507 of the family's 1533-position model. The record is from RNAcentral.